This 90-nucleotide transfer RNA is filed under the name Cytophagia bacterium. Its description in RNAcentral is "tRNA-Ser". It matches the Rfam family "tRNA". From Rfam's summary of the family: Transfer RNA (tRNA) molecules are approximately 80 nucleotides in length. Their secondary structure includes four short double-helical elements and three loops (D, anti-codon, and T loops). Lineage: Bacteria; Pseudomonadati; Bacteroidota; Cytophagia. The record is from RNAcentral. RNAcentral also lists the same sequence under 2 other names.
GGAGAGGUGUCCGAGUGGUUUAAGGUGCACGCCUGGAAAGUGUGUAUGGGCGAAAGUCCAUCGGGGGUUCGAAUCCCCCCUUCUCCGCCA